UGCAAGUCGAACGAUGAAGCCUUUCGGGGUGGAUUAGUGGCGAACGGGUGAGUAACACGUGGGCAAUCUGCCCUUCACUUCGGGACAAGCCCUGGAAACGGGGUCUAAUACCGGAUAAUACUUUUCUCCUCAUGGGGGGAAGUUGAAAGCUCCGGCGGUGAAGGAUGAGCCCGCGGCCUAUCAGCUAGUUGGUGGGGUAAUGGCCUACCAAGGCGACGACGGGUAGCCGGCCUGAGAGGGCGACCGGCCACACUGGGACUGAGACACGGCCCAGACUCCUACGGGAGGCAGCAGUGGGGAAUAUUGCACAAUGGGCGAAAGCCUGAUGCAGCGACGCCGCGUGAGGGAUGACGGCCUUCGGGUUGUAAACCUCUUUCAGCAGGGAAGAAGCGCAAGUGACGGUACCUGCAGAAGAAGCACCGGCUAACUACGUGCCAGCAGCCGCGGUAAUACGUAGGGUGCGAGCGUUGUCCGGAAUUAUUGGGCGUAAAGAGCUCGUAGGCGGCUUGUCACGUCGGUUGUGAAAGCCCGGGGCUUAACCCCGGGUCUGCAGUCGAUACGGGCAGGCUAGAGUGUGGUAGGGGAGAUCGGAAUUCCUGGUGUAGCGGUGAAAUGCGCAGAUAUCAGGAGGAACACCGGUGGCGAAGGCGGAUCUCUGGGCCAUUACUGACGCUGAGGAGCGAAAGCGUGGGGAGCGAACAGGAUUAGAUACCCUGGUAGUCCACGCCGUAAACGUUGGGAACUAGGUGUUGGCGACAUUCCACGUCGUCGGUGCCGCAGCUAACGCAUUAAGUUCCCCGCCUGGGGAGUACGGCCGCAAGGCUAAAACUCAAAGGAAUUGACGGGGGCCC
RNAcentral lists this ribosomal RNA (851 nucleotides) under Streptomyces beijiangensis. Its description in RNAcentral is "bacterial SSU rRNA". It matches the Rfam family "Bacterial small subunit ribosomal RNA", at positions 56 to 922 of the family's 1533-position model. The record is from RNAcentral. Lineage: Bacteria; Bacillati; Actinomycetota; Actinomycetes; Kitasatosporales; Streptomycetaceae.